This 444-nucleotide ribosomal RNA is filed under the name uncultured bacterium. RNAcentral describes it as "bacterial SSU rRNA". It matches the Rfam family "Bacterial small subunit ribosomal RNA", at positions 958 to 1398 of the family's 1533-position model. The record is from RNAcentral.
AACGCGAAGAACCUUACCUGGUCUUGACAUCCCAGGAACCCUUCAGAGAUGAGGGGGUGCCUUCGGGAACCUGGAGACAGGUGCUGCAUGGCUGUCGUCAGCUCGUGUCGUGAGAUGUUGGGUUAAGUCCCGCAACGAGCGCAACCCUUGUCCUGUGUUGCCACUCCCCUUAAAAGGAAGCACUCGCAGGAGACCGCCAGCGAUAAGCUGGAGGAAGGUGGGGAUGAUGUCAAGUCAUCAUGGCCUUUAUGUCCAGGGCUACACACGUGCUACAAUGGACGGUACAAAGCGCUGCGAACCCGCGAGGGGAAGCUAAUCGCAAAAAACCGUUCUCAGUUCGGAUCGCAGGCUGCAACUCGCCUGCGUGAAGCUGGAAUCGCUAGUAAUGGUGUAUCAGAACGAUACCGUGAAUACGUUCCCGGGCCUUGUACACACCGAGACGUA